UUAUUAAUUUAAAAUUAAACAAAUAUGAUAGAGAAUAGACUAAUUUUUAUCAAAUAUUUAUUAUUCAAAAUCAUUAAUUUUCAUAUAUAUGCUUUAGCUACAUUAGGCAAUUCCGUAAUUUUUAUUUAAGGAAAAAAUAAAAAACAUUAAUAAUAAAUUUAUGGUUAGUUUAAUAAAAAGCUUAUUAUAUAUUUAAAUGGAUCAACCUAAUUCUCUAAAAAUUCUAAGACUCAUUAUGGUGAUGACACAUGGCUACCUCAGAUGUUGUAAUGUUUCUCUUUAUAAGAGAUAUAUAUCAGUAAUGAUAUGAUUUUUCAUGCCUCCAUGAAUUUUGUUAUAACUACGUAGAUUUAUUUUGAGAAAACGGUCAUUUAAAUACUGAACUUACUCAUUUUUACCAAAUAAAAUAUAAAUUUUUAGUUAGCUCAAAUAAAUACAAAGUUAUGUUGACUGAGCCAUUUUAGUAUUACUUUUGGUCAACAUAUAUUGUCUAUGUAUAUGACGAUUAAUGUUAAAGGUUAUUGAAACUUUGUCAUUUUAAAAUCAGAACAGAGAAUAAAAUACCCAAAUCGAAAUACCUUACAUGCCUAAUCCCAAAUCGAUGUCUCUCUUUUAUCUCAGUUUCUUGAUAUCAAAUCUAAAACAUCCUUCAAUCAAUCCUCCAAAAAUGAGACAGAAAAUUUGAAUAUUCAUCUCCCCAACCCCAAGUCGAGAGAACCUGCUCAUUAUCUUUCUCAUGUCGUUGUAUUGGGACAAUUCGAACUGAGAAGCCGUUUCAAGGACACAAGCUCUUCAAGUCAUUAUCUCAGUAGACUACUGUGAUUGUUCUUCAUUUGGUUCGCCUUUUUCCCUUUUCACAGGUUUUGUUCUCUGAGGUGAGCCUAUAUGAGGUCGAUUUGGGACGGUGCUAGGCAUUGCUUUUGUAAAGAAAGCGACUUGUUGGCCCUUGUGGAGUGAGAUCUUGUUGUUUCUUUAAGACUUUUUUGUUCUUUCCUGUAAUUUUCAGACAUCAUAUUUGUUCUGUGACCGUUUCAUUUGAGAUAUGUUGAACACAAUCAUAAGCAUUCUAAAACAGAUCUGAAUUUA
Molecule: long non-coding RNA, 1086 nt
Organism: Brassica napus (rape)
Lineage: Eukaryota; Viridiplantae; Streptophyta; Magnoliopsida; Brassicales; Brassicaceae
Exons: 2
Source: RefSeq, a predicted model, not a curated record